GGUAAUAGCUCAGUAGUAGAGCGCAUGCUUGGUUAGCAUGCACAAGGUCCUGGGUUCAACCCCCAGUACUUCCA
This 74-nucleotide transfer RNA is filed under the name Camelus bactrianus (Bactrian camel). It matches the Rfam family "tRNA". From Rfam's summary of the family: Transfer RNA (tRNA) molecules are approximately 80 nucleotides in length. The record is from Rfam by way of RNAcentral. Lineage: Eukaryota; Metazoa; Chordata; Mammalia; Artiodactyla; Camelidae. RNAcentral also lists the same sequence under 2 other names.